UACAGAGGUCCCAAGCGUUGUUCGGAUUCACUGGGCGUAAAGGGUGCGUAGGCGGUCGGGUAAGUCUGAUGUGAAAUCUUCAAGCUUAACUUGGAAACUGCAUCGGAUACUAUUCGGCUAGAGGAAUGGAGGGGAGACUGGAAUACUUGGUGUAGCAGUGAAAUGCGUAGAUAUCAAGUGGAACACCAGUGGCGAAGGCGGCUUCCUGGACCUGUUCUGACGCUGAGGAGCGAAAGCGUGGGGAGCGAUCCGG
Molecule: ribosomal RNA, 253 nt
Filed under: uncultured bacterium
Lineage: Bacteria
Description: partial 16S ribosomal RNA
Rfam family: Bacterial small subunit ribosomal RNA
Source: RNAcentral